This 253-nucleotide ribosomal RNA is filed under the name uncultured bacterium. Its description in RNAcentral is "partial 16S ribosomal RNA". It matches the Rfam family "Bacterial small subunit ribosomal RNA", at positions 524 to 776 of the family's 1533-position model. The record is from RNAcentral.
UACGAGAGCCUCGAGCGUUAUCCGGAAUUAUUGGGCGUAAAGGGUGCGUAGGUUGUUCUGUUAGUCUUUCGUCAAAUCCCGGGGCUUAACUUCGGAUCCGCGAAAGAAACGGCAGAACUUGAAAGUGCGAGAGGCGUACGGAACUCAUGGUGUAGGGGUGAAAUCCGUUGAUAUCAUGGGGAACACCAAAUGCGAAGGCAGUACGCUGGCGCAUAUUUGACACUGAAGCACGAAAGCGUGGGUAGCGAAUGGG